RNAcentral lists this long non-coding RNA (524 nucleotides) under Anas platyrhynchos platyrhynchos (common mallard). RNAcentral's name for it is "lncRNA (ENSAPLG00000024484.1)". The record is from RNAcentral. Lineage: Eukaryota; Metazoa; Chordata; Aves; Anseriformes; Anatidae.
ACAAGCCUCUUAAGUAGGAAGUGGGAUGUGCUGCAUUAAUCAAGGCUUGAUUGGAAGUCUCGUGUAGGUUGCAUGUACUGAAAAGGAAGACCUGCUGUUAGAGUUGAUAGGAACUGCAAGGGAGCAGAAGAGUUGCCAGACCAGGUCAUCUGCCUCCCAGCCUGCAAAGCCCGACACUUGUGUCUUGUCUGCCAAGUCAGCUCAGGGGUCCUGCUGCCUGGAUGUGUCUAUGCCAUGUUGGAGCAAUUGCAUUUACCACAAAUUAAUUUUACUGCCUGAAACAGAGUGUCAGUGCAAUUUAGGACGUUACAGACAAAAAGGGCCGUCUGGCUGACAUGUAUGACCAAGACCUUAACAUAGUAGACAAGACAAGGUAUAACAUCCUUUUUUUUUUUCUUUUUUUUUUUUUUUUUUCUGCCAUAAUCAAAAAAUGUGCUAGAUAUGUUAGUUUGUGUUUUUAAAACAACAUCAAUUAAAUCAGAAUUUGCUGCAAUUUUCUGUGCCUAGUUGAAAAUUUAGAAUUU